Molecule: ribosomal RNA, 188 nt
Filed under: uncultured Cortinarius
Lineage: Eukaryota; Fungi; Basidiomycota; Agaricomycetes; Agaricales; Cortinariaceae
Description: partial 28S ribsomal RNA
Rfam family: Eukaryotic large subunit ribosomal RNA
Source: RNAcentral
GACCUCAAAUCAGGUAGGACUACCCGCUGAACUUAAGCAUAUCAAUAAGCGGAGGAAAAGAAACUAACAAGGAUUCCCCUAGUAACUGCGAGUGAAGCGGGAAAAGCUCAAAUUUAAAAUCUGUCAGUCUUUGGCUGUCCGAGUUGUAAUCUAGAGAAGUGUUAUCUGCGCUGGACCGUGUACAAAUU